CCACUGGAGCAGAGUGGAACUCUACGGGUCACCUCCGGGGAACAAAGACUUGCCCCACCUAGGAGAGAACACAACCAUACCACAAAGCUAGAAGGAUUCUUGGUCUGCAAAUAGAAUGUAAAGGAAAGGCCCGGACUUGCAGGCCGGGGACUCCUCAGCCACCCUCAGCAUAGGCCAGCCUCGUCGUUGGUGCAGCACAGGUGUGAGCAAACUGGCUUUGAAGACAUCGGUCGCUAGAGCACCUGGGAGGCCAGACCCAGGCUGUACAGGAGCCCACAAGCCCGAGUCCAAAGGUUCACGAAAGCCAAUGGGGAUCACGGUUUUAGAAAACUCACAGGAGAGGAACUGCCAUUUGGCUUCGUGCAGGGGUGAGGAAAGAGCCGUGGCCUUGCUCUCCUGGAUGUUGCUUUACCAUUAAAUGGGUGAGGCUGGGCUUCUCAUCACCUCACAUCAGAGGGAAGCUCUGUGAAAAUGGAAUUACCCGUCAAGGGGCACAGACUUUGGCAGGUGGAAUCGAUGCAGCUGGCCUCACAGGAAGCAGGUUUAGACUGGUCCCUUCUGGCUUCUCCCCUGCUUGAACAGUGAGUUGGGAGUUCCAUAGCACUGGCCUGGUAACUGCUCCUGUAGAAGAAGCUAUGGUCUCUCAAUGGAGGAAGAGGCUUCAACACAGAAUCUUAAAGCAAGACAAAUGGACCCUUAACAAGGCAAAAAUGCACACCGAGCAUCAUCUGGACCCCAGUAUGUGCAUCUAUCAAGAGCAAUUUCUUUGAAGGUUCUUCCUGACACCCGACAUUGCAGAGUCUUCCUGUUCACCUGACACAGAAGAUUCUGGUGGAGCAACACUCUCUGAACCUCCCAGGAUGGGGGCAGCCCUAAGAUCACGGCACGAGUGGCUGACAGCGGGAAUGAUACAGCCUUGUCCCGGGAAGAUGGGAUCCAGGUUCUUGCGUUUCGUAGCAUGUGGGCCAUUGAGAAGCAUUUUGUCCAGACUGUAGUACAGGGUGAAACUGACCUAGAAUUGCCUGGCUUCUCUCCUCCCACUAUCAGCUGCUGUGACCAGAAACACAAGAAGAGGAAUGAAAAACCAAAAAAAGAAACACUGAAGGCUAUGGGCAUCUUUGGUUCUUUCUGGGACAUUGAGCUGCAGAUAGCCUGAAGAGGAAUCUUAGAAAGACCUUGAGGAAUCUUCCCAGGAAGGCCCAUCAGAAUCCCUCCAUCCAUUCACUCUGUAUUCUGCCCUCUGUUGUGGUCACAUGGAUGGAAGGAGGUGGAAUCAUCAGAACCCCUUUGUCCUUCACUGUGUGUCCUGUUCCUAUUGUGGUCACAUGGUUCUGUCAGCCACAAGCAUUACACAGUAAAAGUACAACUGACAGGUCAGUUUGUCAGUGACAAACCCACAGGAGCAGUGAGGAGCCUGAUUUUCAGAGCUCUGGGAACACCUGUCUGUUGAAUAGUCACUGUCAAUUCUGUAGAAAUCUUUUGAAGCCACGACGUGUCUCCCUUCCAUAAUGGGACUCUUCCCGAAGUACCCCAGCAGUGCAUAAAUCAUUCAUUGAGACAGCUUCUUCUUGUAUGGGCAACCGAAUGAACUUCUCCAUAUUGUGGGGCCCUGGUGUGAAAGUGUUCACUCAGCCAAAUCUUUGUUCUCAUAGUCAAAUCUACAUAAAACCAGUUCCCCACAA
Molecule: long non-coding RNA, 1682 nt
Organism: Arvicola amphibius (Eurasian water vole)
Lineage: Eukaryota; Metazoa; Chordata; Mammalia; Rodentia; Cricetidae
Exons: 6
Source: RefSeq, a predicted model, not a curated record